AGUGAACGCUGGCGGUAUGCCUAACACAUGCAAGUCGAACGGCAGCACAGUAAGAGCUUGCUCUUACGGGCGUCGAGUGUCGGACGGUUGAGGAAUACAUCGGAUUCUACUUUUUCGUGGGUGAUAACGUCGGGAAACUUACUCUAAUACCGCAUACGACCUACGUGUGAAAGCAGGCGAUCUUCUGACCUUGCGCGAUUGAAUAAGCCGAUGUCGGAUUAGCUAGUUGGCGGGGUAAAGGCCCACCAAGGCGACGAUCCGAAACUGGUCUGACAGGAUGGUCAGCCAGAUUGGAAGUGAGACACGGCACAGACUCCUACGGGAGGAAGCAGUGGGGAAUAUUGGACAAUGGGCGAAAGCCUGAUCCAGCAAUACCGCGUGGGUGAAGAAGGACUUAGGGUUGUAGAGCCCUUUUGUUGGGAAAGAAAAGCAGCAGGUUAAUACCCCGCUGUUCUGACGGUACCCAAAGAAUAAGCACCGGCUAACUUCGUG
RNAcentral lists this ribosomal RNA (492 nucleotides) under uncultured bacterium. RNAcentral's name for it is "partial 16S ribosomal RNA". It matches the Rfam family "Bacterial small subunit ribosomal RNA", at positions 29 to 507 of the family's 1533-position model. The record is from RNAcentral.